This is a transfer RNA of 84 nucleotides. It matches the Rfam family "tRNA". From Rfam's summary of the family: Transfer RNA (tRNA) molecules are approximately 80 nucleotides in length. Their secondary structure includes four short double-helical elements and three loops (D, anti-codon, and T loops). The record is from Rfam.
GGUACCUUGGCCGAGUGGUGUAAGGCGCCGGAUUACAACUCCGGAACCCGAAGGGGUGAGUGGGUUCGAAUCCCUCAGGUACCA